GUUUCUGAGGAGAUGCAGGGAGAUUUGUAAAGGUCUGUUUUUUCCUGAAAUGUCUGAGGAGUACAGUAGCAUGCUCAAAUGAACUACUCUACUCUUCAGACGAUUAAGGAGUAAAUGCAGUCAAGGCGAAUGUGGUCGGUCACCAUGGCACCACAACUUGAGAAAGCAAUAUCGUAAGACGGAGAUUGGCACAGUGCCCUGUGGACCUUGACCGUACUCUUCAGUGUUCCUGGCACUUAUUUUAGGAUGGUAAUGAAGCUACUGUGUAGUCAGCUUUCUAUCACUAACAAGAUGCCUGCGAUAAUAAAAUUAUAAGGAAGGAAGCUUUGUUUCGAUUCACAGAUUUGGAGGUUCCAGUCCUUGGUAAGAAG
This 371-nucleotide long non-coding RNA is filed under the name Fukomys damarensis (Damara mole-rat). RNAcentral's name for it is "lncRNA (ENSFDAG00000022611.1)". Lineage: Eukaryota; Metazoa; Chordata; Mammalia; Rodentia; Bathyergidae. The record is from RNAcentral.